AGGGGAGUUUGAUCAUGGGCUCAGGAUGAACGCUGGCGGUAUGCUUAACACAUGCAAGUCGAACGGAUGUUUUCGGACAUUAGUGGCGGACGGGUGAGUAACGCGUGAGAAUCUAGCUUCAGGUUGGGGACAACAGUUGGAAACGACUGCUAAUACCGAAUGUGCCGAAAGGUGAAAGAUUUAUUGCCUGAAGAAGAGCUCGCGUCUGAUUAGCUAGUUGGUGGGGUAAGAGCUUACCAAGGCGACGAUCGGUAGCUGGUCUGAGAGGACGAUCAGCCACACUGGGACUGAGACACGGCCCAGACUCCUACGGGAGGCAGCAGUGGGGAAUUUUCCGCAAUGGGCGAAAGCCUGACGGAGCAAUACCGCGUGAGGGAAGAAGGCUCUUGGGUUGUAAACCUCUUUUCUGAAGGAAGAAAAAAAUGACGGUACUUCAGGAAUCAGCAUCGGCUAACUCCGUGCCAGCAGCCGCGGUAAUACGGAGGAUGCAAGCGUUAUCCGGAAUGAUUGGGCGUAAAGCGUCCGCAGGUGGCAAUUCAAGUCUGCGGUUAAAGGUUCUGGCUCAACCAGAGACAAGCCGUGGAAACUGAAUAGCUAGAGUAUGGUAGGGGCAGAGGGAAUUCCCAGUGUAGCGGUGAAAUGCGUAGAGAUUGGGAAGAACACCGGUGGCGAAAGCGCUCUGCUAGGCCAAAACUGACACUGAGGGGACGAAAGCUAGGGGAGCGAAUGGGAUUAGAUACCCCAGUAGUCCUAGCCGUAACGAUGGAUACUAGGUGUAGCUUGU
This 784-nucleotide ribosomal RNA is filed under the name uncultured cyanobacterium. RNAcentral's name for it is "bacterial SSU rRNA". It matches the Rfam family "Bacterial small subunit ribosomal RNA", at positions 1 to 830 of the family's 1533-position model. Lineage: Bacteria; Bacillati; Cyanobacteriota. The record is from RNAcentral.